Molecule: long non-coding RNA, 1292 nt
Filed under: Lactuca sativa (garden lettuce)
Lineage: Eukaryota; Viridiplantae; Streptophyta; Magnoliopsida; Asterales; Asteraceae
Description: long non-coding RNA (LSAT_LNC009074)
Source: RNAcentral
UUACUCCUCCCAGUGGCUAAGGAUAACAACAUCCAAGUACUGGCAAAAACAUGUUCGAUUAAUCAAGAUUAAAUGGAGAAAUCCAAAUUUCUAAAUCUGGAAUAAGGGUAACUCAUUGUAAGUCUUGAAUAGCAUAGUGAUAUGUAUAUACAUUUGAUACCCGUAGAGAGAAACAAUUUACCUCAAUUAAAUUGUAAUAGAAUAUAACCCAGAUUUUGAUACAACAUUAAGAGAUAAAAGAGAGGGAGAAGUUUUUAUUUAAUCAAAUAUUUAAGAUGAGAUGAGAGGGUGUACAAGAAGGUUCAUGUACUGAUCGGCAUCGAAGGAGGUGGUGUUGAUAGUGUCGAGAGUGGCGAAUCUUGAUGUGGUGUUGGUGGGAGCAGAAGUCUGAGAAGCAUCCUGUGAAUAGAAGCAGAUCUCGAGUUCUCUUUACCUUAUCAUCCUCUACUGCCAUUUUUCUCUUUCUCUCUAGUCCCUCUUCACCUGUAAUAUUUAUGUUUCUUCUCCUAAACAACACUUAAUUAGAUAUCUUCUAUGUAGUGUAUAACUUCCUCCCUUAUCUGAGAGUACCAACAAUGUAAACAACACAAAUACCAAGAAUGUAAACCACCACAAAUCACACAAAAACAUGGCAUAACUCAUAUCAACAACAUUAUUUGAGACAUUCUACUAACAAUUCACGCACAAAUAGGCAUUAGUCAUAUUAAGUGCUUCAUGUUAACAUCAAACAAGAUUAACACCUAACUAUAUCAACCAGAUGUAAUUCGCAAAACCCUAUAAACUGCUUUAUUUCAAGAAUCACAUUAAACCAACUACCAACUGUAGACUUUAUAACAACAAAUCCGAUUAUACCAAACUGCCUUAAAAUCGUCUGCUUCAUCGAUUCUAAAGAGAUUCAUGUGCUUUUAUCGAUUCCAAUAAAAUAAAUAAAUAACUCAUCAGCUUAUACCGAACCAGAAAAAGAAAUCCGGAUUGCAACCAAUAAAUUGGGAACCAUAUAGUAGAAAUCAGACAAGAAAUUGAGUUCUAGAUUUAAAACUGAACAAGCAAAUCAUGUGCUUUAUCUAUUCUAGAAAUCAACAUUCAAGUAUCGAUCCUGGAGGUAUAACCGGAUAAAGUAAGCAGGACUAACCGGAUCGGAGAAGGAGCAGUAGCCGGCGCCGGAGAUCGGAGGUCUAGACGGAGAUCGGAGAGGGUCACAGCUGAUGAACAUUGUGAAGGGGAGUGUGAAGAACGAAUGUCUGGGGGUAUUUGGGGCAGAAUGGGGGUAUAUAGGUAAUUUUAGUGAGGUG